This is a long non-coding RNA of Alexandromys fortis (reed vole), 2044 nucleotides long. RefSeq lists it as uncharacterized. The record is from RefSeq and is a predicted model, not a curated record. Lineage: Eukaryota; Metazoa; Chordata; Mammalia; Rodentia; Cricetidae. The transcript has 3 exons.
UAUACUGGCAGGUCAAACACUCAUACACAAAAGGUAAAAUAAAAAAAAAAAAACGAAUGGUGGUAGCCCUAGGGGUCCCAGGAGACAGGAGUGGGGGUGUUGCCACCUCACCCAGUGUUCUGGGCUCUCCUCCAUGUAAGAAGCCAUCUCUCUGGCUCUGAAGGUUUUGCUAUUUUUCCUCCUUAUGCUACCCACCAGACUCCCUUCUCCUCCUCAGUUAGCUCAGUUCCUCAUUCCUAUCUUAGUGUCCGGGAGGGGGGACGUGUUUUUAGAAGAUGGGUGGUUCCUACUCGGCCACAAGGGGGUGCUGGGUUAGAGCAGGCCCCAGUGGCACACAGGUGGCAGGCGGCAGCAGAACCCUGAGGCUAGGUACAUAUGGCUCCACCCCUUUUGUCCAGGACCUUUGCUCCUGGCCCUAAAGGCACUGGCCCUGGGUUGCCAUGGCAGGCUCUUAGUUUGGAUAAACAGAGUCGUCCUCGUGCCGUCCAGGUAACUGACAUCUAAGUGUCUCCCAGGGAUAGGCUGGAAUUUAAGAGUCCAGCCCCUAAACCCCCAGGGGAGGACAAAGGAGGGAUCCAGAGCAAGGGCGACGAGCUUGGGAGGAAAACAGAGAACAGGAGUUGUCUGGGUAGAACUGCUCACAUCUCGCUCCGCUGAAGGGAACGCGGAGGGCCUUGUGCUGAGGACGGUGCUGGGGUCUGCAGUGUGGGAGCUGUGGACACAGAACCCAAACCCCUGCUCGAACACUACCCACCAUUCACAGCGCGAACUGCUCCGCCAAGUCCUGGGUUCCUCACACGUGCUGCAGAGGAGACGCUGGACGUUUCUGCAGAGGUGCUGAGAGUUCAGCUCCUGCGAGUUGAGACGACUGUUGUGUCCAUUGUUCUCAUUUGCUCUCUGAAGGACGUGCUCUGCUCAUUUUGGGAGCACCGAAAGGACUCCCAGAGAGGUUAAGUAACAUGCUCAACUUCACACAAGAAGUUCUUCAGAUGGCUCCUGUUCUGGGGUCUUGGCCCUAGCCACAGCAGAACUUUUGAGAAAAGCCAGGGGCAUUCCCCUGUCUCAGUUAUGUGAGCUUUAGUUGUGUCAUAGACGCCCCUUUUCUCGCUGCUGCACUUCUUGAGAUCAGUUGUAGAAAUUGAAUUAGAGCUGGAGACUAGGGACAUAGCUCUGCGGUAGAGCCCAGCAUCCCCGACCCCAAAGUGCUGCUGUUUUCAAGUGUGGCGUGAUCAGCAUGGGAGAAAUAGGUCACUGGCAUUGGCCUCUGUGAACUACUGAGUAUACGCUAGCCUUUGACACACUAUCCAGCUGCUCCACUCUUCCAGAGGGAGUUUUGUGCUUGCCCGGUGGCUUUUUACAUUUCCAGAUCUUUCCAUCCAUCUUACUUUUGGGUUUCUGUUUGGUUUUUAUACAUAGCCCUGGCUGUUCGGAACCUCACUAUGUAGAUCAGGCUGGCCUCAGAUUCACUUGCCUCUGCCUCCAGAGCGCUGAGAUUAAAGAUAUGUGCCACCCUGAGUUCUGUUUUUGUUUUUCUGGUGCUGGGGAUUGAGCCUAGGACUUCACAAUGAAGACAGGUACUUUACCACCAAACUUUCCCUCCUGUCUUCACACCUUACUUCUCUAAAUUGGGUGUGAUGGUUCCUGGGAGAGGAAGCUGAGGCUGGGGCAUUGCUACGUGUUCAAGGCCAGCAUGGACUAUGUUAUAGAGUCUGUCUUUUCUUCUAAAUCCAGCUUGCUCAAGGGUCCCCUUGCCCCCAAAGUUCUAGGGAACAUGUUUUAAUCCUUUAUUUAUCUAAAGUCAAUAUUUUGUUGGCAAGGCACCAGAGGCUGGCUCACUGUGUAGCUUUCACGUCUUUAUCUGUGUACAUUUAGGUUGGUGAACAUCUGCUGUUUUUGCCUGCUGCUCCCGGCAUCCCCCCCCCCCUUUUGGUGAAUCAUCUCUUUUCCCUCCUGCCAUUAGUUUGGGUAGGCCUGACUCCCUCCCCCUUUCCCAGGAACUCUAGCUCAAAUGACAGCAUUUUAUUAUUCUCCUGACUGAAGUCUU